Molecule: ribosomal RNA, 497 nt
Filed under: uncultured bacterium
Lineage: Bacteria
Description: partial 16S ribosomal RNA
Rfam family: Bacterial small subunit ribosomal RNA
Source: RNAcentral
GAUGAACGCUGGCGGCGUGCCUAAUACAUGCAAGUCGAGCGAACAGACGAGGAGCUUGCUCCUCUGACGUUAGCGGCGGACGGGUGAGUAACACGUGGAUAACCUACCUAUAAGACUGGGAUAACUUCGGGAAACCGGAGCUAAUACCGGAUAAUAUAUUGAACCGCAUGGUUCAAUAGUGAAAGACGGUUUUGCUUUCACUUAUAGAUGGAUUCGCGCCGCAUUAGCUAGUUGGUAAGGUAACGGCUUACCAAGGCGACGAUGCGUAGCCGACCUGAGAGGGUAAUCAGCCACCCUGGAACGGAAACAAGGUACAGUCUCCUACGGGAAGCAACGGUAGAGAAUCUUCCACAAGGGGCGAAAGCCUGACGGAGCAACGCCGCGUGAGUGAUGAAGGUAUUCGGAUCGUAGAACUCAGUUAUUAGGGAAGAACAAAUGUGUAAGUAACUAUGCACGUAUUGACGGUACCUAAUCAGUAAGCCACGGCUAACUACGUG